GUGCUUAACUGCUACCUAUUCCUGUCCAAAGCCCUGGGGUGAAAAAAUGUUACUCUUAAAAACUGGCAUUUUCCAAAGAAGCUAUGUCAGGAAUGGUGCAGGAGUGGCAGCUUCAAAAUCCUGACCAAAUUCCAAACUAGGUGUAAAGGAUUUCACAAGAUACAAGUAAGAGAUGCUGAAUGCAUCUGGAAAGAACAGCCUGUGCUAACCAGAGAAGAAAUGUGUUGAAACUGAAAAUUCUCCUGCUGUGCACAAGGAUGUAGCGGUUGGAGAUCUUGUCAUCAGCAGCCACGUACAGACGGAUGAACACAGAGCUGCUGUAC
Molecule: long non-coding RNA, 323 nt
Organism: Catharus ustulatus (Swainson's thrush)
Lineage: Eukaryota; Metazoa; Chordata; Aves; Passeriformes; Turdidae
Exons: 4
Source: RefSeq, a predicted model, not a curated record